CCUCGUGCUCUACGAAUGGGAGUUCAUAUCUGUCUGUUAUGGAGUAGAUAUCAUCCUUCCCUUCUCAGGAUACUAAUAACAAUUUAACAGGCUGGCUGAACACAGCCUGCAUGCGCUGAGAAUUAUCAUCCUCUCCCCCUGUUCCCCCCCUGGCUCUUAGGAUCCGUAUCACGAGGGGGGAGGCACCCCCCGAGCGGGUUACAGAGAGCCAGCCCCUUCGCUUCCUGCUCUUAGGACCCCCGAAUCACAGGGGGGAGGCACGCCGCGAGGCGGCGGUCUCAGAGCCAGCCCCUCUUCCCCCCCCACUGCCGUAGAACCCCAUCGCAGGGGGAGACCCUCGCGAGGCCGUUCUCUUGAGCCAGCCCCUCUUCCCCACUGGCCUUUAGGACCCCCGUACGCAGGGGGGGAGCACCCCCCGCUGAGGGCCGGUACUCAGAGCCAUCCCCUUCGUCCCCCAUCUGGCCC
This 465-nucleotide long non-coding RNA is filed under the name Pan troglodytes (chimpanzee). Its description in RNAcentral is "lncRNA (ENSPTRG00000054107.1)". Lineage: Eukaryota; Metazoa; Chordata; Mammalia; Primates; Hominidae. The record is from RNAcentral.